RNAcentral lists this ribosomal RNA (250 nucleotides) under uncultured Gardnerella sp. Its description in RNAcentral is "partial 16S ribosomal RNA". It matches the Rfam family "Bacterial small subunit ribosomal RNA", at positions 103 to 356 of the family's 1533-position model. Lineage: Bacteria; Bacillati; Actinomycetota; Actinomycetes; Bifidobacteriales; Bifidobacteriaceae. The record is from RNAcentral.
CGGGUGAGUAAUGCGUGACCAACCUGCCCCAUGCUCCAGAAUAGCUCUUGGAAACGGGUGGUAAUGCUGGAUGCUCCAACUUGACGCAUGUCUUGUUGGGAAAGUGUUUAGUGGCAUGGGAUGGGGUCGCGUCCUAUCAGCUUGUAGGCGGGGUAAUGGCCCACCUAGGCUUCGACGGGUAGCCGGCCUGAGAGGGCGGACGGCCACAUUGGGACUGAGAUACGGCCCAGACUCCUACGGAGCAGCAGUG